RNAcentral lists this ribosomal RNA (115 nucleotides) under Enterobacter cloacae. RNAcentral describes it as "partial 23S ribosomal RNA". The stretch from base 1 to 101 matches the Rfam family "Bacterial large subunit ribosomal RNA", at positions 2825 to 2925 of the family's 2925-position model. The record is from RNAcentral. Lineage: Bacteria; Pseudomonadati; Pseudomonadota; Gammaproteobacteria; Enterobacterales; Enterobacteriaceae.
CCCUGAAGGGCCGUCGAAGACUACGACGUUGAUAGGUUGGGUGUGUAAGCGCUGUGAGGCGUUGAGCUAACCAAUACUAAUUGCCCGUGAGGCUUGACCAUAUAACACCCAAGCA